CCAACAGUCCUUCUCAGGACUACCAACAUUCCUUUUCAGGACUAC
Non-coding RNA from Strongylocentrotus purpuratus (purple sea urchin), 45 nucleotides. NCBI's taxonomy places the organism in Eukaryota, Metazoa, Echinodermata, Echinoidea, Camarodonta, Strongylocentrotidae. The record is from Rfam.